Molecule: transfer RNA, 83 nt
Filed under: Companilactobacillus suantsaicola
Lineage: Bacteria; Bacillati; Bacillota; Bacilli; Lactobacillales; Lactobacillaceae
Description: bacterium BCRC 81127 tRNA-Leu
Rfam family: tRNA
About the family: Transfer RNA (tRNA) molecules are approximately 80 nucleotides in length.
Source: RNAcentral
GCCGUUGUGGCGGAACUGGCAGACGCGCAGUGUUCAGGUCGCUGUAUGGUUUCCAUGUGCGGGUUCGAAUCCCGCCAACGGCA